RNAcentral lists this transfer RNA (78 nucleotides) under Nitrospiraceae bacterium. RNAcentral's name for it is "tRNA-Pro". It matches the Rfam family "tRNA". From Rfam's summary of the family: Transfer RNA (tRNA) molecules are approximately 80 nucleotides in length. Their secondary structure includes four short double-helical elements and three loops (D, anti-codon, and T loops). Further hydrogen bonds mediate the characteristic L-shaped molecular structure. tRNAs have two regions of fundamental functional importance: the anti-codon, which is responsible for specific mRNA codon recognition, and the 3' end, to which the tRNAs corresponding amino acid is attached (by aminoacyl-tRNA synthetases). tRNAs cope with the degeneracy of the genetic code in two manners: having more than one tRNA (with a specific anti-codon) for a particular amino acid; and 'wobble' base-pairing, i.e. permitting non-standard base-pairing at the 3rd anti-codon position. Lineage: Bacteria; Pseudomonadati; Nitrospirota; Nitrospiria; Nitrospirales; Nitrospiraceae. The record is from RNAcentral.
CGGAGCGUAGCGCAGCUUGGUUAGCGCACUGGUCUGGGGGACCAGGGGUCGGAGGUUCAAAUCCUCUCGCUCCGACCA